Molecule: long non-coding RNA, 752 nt
Organism: Dermochelys coriacea (leatherback sea turtle)
Lineage: Eukaryota; Metazoa; Chordata; Testudines; Dermochelyidae
Exons: 3
Source: RefSeq, a predicted model, not a curated record
UGAAGUACAUUGUUUCAAUAAUCAUUUUUUAAAAAACCAUGUCUGUCUCUCAUUUUGUAAAAGUCUAGCAAUGGAGAUGCUCUGAACAUGAAGCUACGAUUAAAUGUGAUUAAUAUAUUUUUAUUAUUUUCAGUAUUCACUCCCAAGUACAGAUUUUGCAUAUAGUUGAUGCACUUGCAUAUGCAAAUUUGGUGUGCACACCAGUUGGAAAUCCACUGAAAAUUUGGGCCUCAAAGUAAGCUGAGACUAAAAUACCACAAGAUGAAAUAUUGCCAAAUAGCCUAUUGCACUUUGUGGUUUUUCAGCCAUAGGGCAUAUUAAGCAGGAACAGCAGCAGGUCCCAGCAAGGCUUUUUUAACUCCAUCUGCACUGGGAAUUUUGGCAAAAGUGGCCCUACUAGCCAGCCCCCAGAUAAGGAUGGAGGAGCAGGACAGCUGGCCACAGUCAAAAGGAGGAAGAAUCAAUUGGCCAACUGGCUGUCUCCUGAAGACUGAUUUGGGGAAAGGAAUUUGGUUGCCUCAGAAAGAGGAUACCAGAUUGGAAAGGACAACAGAACUCCUGGCUUCUGCAAGAAACAAGAGUUACUGCUUCCCAGGAUAGAGUCUCCCAUCCUAGUCUGAAGAGCACAGGAUAGUCUGUGUAAUAUUGCCUGAGAUGUUGAAAGCAGAAGAGAAGAGGAUGUAUUUUUUUUAAUAUCAAGAGAGCAACAUCAGAGUGCAUUGGCUCACUUGCUCCAGGAAUACAUGUACCCU